This 1114-nucleotide ribosomal RNA is filed under the name Pseudoalteromonas sp. R113. RNAcentral's name for it is "bacterial SSU rRNA". It matches the Rfam family "Bacterial small subunit ribosomal RNA", at positions 57 to 1177 of the family's 1533-position model. Lineage: Bacteria; Pseudomonadati; Pseudomonadota; Gammaproteobacteria; Alteromonadales; Pseudoalteromonadaceae. The record is from RNAcentral.
GCAAGUCGAGCGGUACAGAAAGUAGCUUGCUACUUUGCUGACGAGCGGCGGACGGGUGAGUAAUGCUUGGGAACAUGCCUUGAGGUGGGGGACAACAGUUGGAAACGACUGCUAAUACCGCAUAAUGUCUACGGACCAAAGGGGGCUUCGGCUCUCGCCUUUAGAUUGGCCCAAGUGGGAUUAGCUAGUUGGUGAGGUAAUGGCUCACCAAGGCAACGAUCCCUAGCUGGUUUGAGAGGAUGAUCAGCCACACUGGAACUGAGACACGGUCCAGACUCCUACGGGAGGCAGCAGUGGGGAAUAUUGCACAAUGGGCGAAAGCCUGAUGCAGCCAUGCCGCGUGUGUGAAGAAGGCCUUCGGGUUGUAAAGCACUUUCAGUCAGGAGGAAAGGGUGUGAGUUAAUACCUCAUAUCUGUGACGUUACUGACAGAAGAAGCACCGGCUAACUCCGUGCCAGCAGCCGCGGUAAUACGGAGGGUGCGAGCGUUAAUCGGAAUUACUGGGCGUAAAGCGUACGCAGGCGGUUUGUUAAGCGAGAUGUGAAAGCCCCGGGCUCAACCUGGGAACUGCAUUUCGAACUGGCAAACUAGAGUGUGAUAGAGGGUGGUAGAAUUUCAGGUGUAGCGGUGAAAUGCGUAGAGAUCUGAAGGAAUACCGAUGGCGAACGCAGCCACCUGGGUCAACACUGACGCUCAUGUACGAAAGCGUGGGGAGCAAACGGGAUUAGAUACCCCGGUAGUCCACGCCGUACACGAUGUCUACUAGAAGCUCGGAACCUCGGUUCUGUUUUUCAAAGCUAACGCAUUAAGUACACCGCCUGGAGAGUACGGCCGCAAGGUUAAAACUCAAAUGAAUUGACGGGGGCCCGCACAAGCGGUGGAGCAUGUGGUUUUAAUUCGAUGCAACGCGAAGAACCUUACCCUACACUUGACAUACAGAGCAUCUUACUAGAGGAUGGUGUGGUGCUUCGGGAACUCUGAAUACAGUGCUGCAUGCUGUCGUCAGCUCGUGUUGUAGAGAUGCGUUAGUCCGCCACGAGGCCACCCUAUCCUUAGUUGCUUAAGCAGUAUGCUGAAACUCUAAGAACUGCCGAUAUAACUGGAAGAACGCUCG